AUUGAACGCUGGCGGCAUGCCUUACACAUGCAAGUCGAACGGUAACAGGUCUUCGGAUGCUGACGAGUGGCGAACGGGUGAGUAAUGCAUCGGAACGUGCCCAGUCGUGGGGGAUAACUAUCCGAAAGGAUAGCUAAUACCGCAUACGAUCUGCGGAUGAAAGCGGGGGACCUUCGGGCCUCGCGCGAUUGGAGCGGCCGAUGUCAGAUUAGGUAGUUGGUGGGGUAAAGGCUCACCAAGCCAACGAUCUGUAGCUGGUCUGAGAGGACGACCAGCCACACUGGGACUGAGACACGGCCCAGACUCCUACGGGAGGCAGCAGUGGGGAAUUUUGGACAAUGGGCGCAAGCCUGAUCCAGCAAUGCCGCGUGCAGGAAGAAGGCCUUCGGGUUGUAAACUGCUUUUGUACGGAACGAAACGGCUCUGGUUAAUACCCGGGGCUAAUGACGGUACCGUAAGAAUAAGCACCGGCUAACUACGUGCCAGCCGCCGCGGUAA
This 498-nucleotide ribosomal RNA is filed under the name uncultured bacterium. RNAcentral describes it as "partial 16S ribosomal RNA". It matches the Rfam family "Bacterial small subunit ribosomal RNA", at positions 30 to 523 of the family's 1533-position model. The record is from RNAcentral.